GACGAACGCUGGCGGCGGGCUUAACACAUGCAAGUCGAACGGAAAGGCCCUGCUUUUGUGGGGUGCUCGAGUGGCGAACGGGUGAGUAACACGUGAGUAACCUGCCCUUGACUUUGGGAUAACUUCAGGAAACUGGUGCUAAUACCGGAUAGGAGCUCCUGCUGCAGGGUGGGGGUUGGAAAGUUUCGGCGGUUGGGGAUGGACUCGCGGCUUAUCAGCUUGUUGGUGGGGUAGUGGCUUACCAAGGGUUUGACGGGUAGCCGGCCUGAGAGGGUGACCGGCCACAUUGGGACUGAGAUACGGACCAGACUCCUACGGGAGGCAGCAGUGGGGAAUAUUGCCCAAUGGGCGGAAGCCUGAUGCAGAAACGCCGCGUGCGGGAUGAAGGCCUUCGGGUUGUAAACCGCUUUAGCCUGUGACGAAGCGUGAGUGACGGUAAUGGGUAAAGAAGCACCGGCUAACUACGUG
RNAcentral lists this ribosomal RNA (468 nucleotides) under uncultured bacterium. RNAcentral describes it as "partial 16S ribosomal RNA". It matches the Rfam family "Bacterial small subunit ribosomal RNA", at positions 28 to 507 of the family's 1533-position model. The record is from RNAcentral.